UACGUAGGCAGCGAGCGUUGUUCGGAAUUACUGGGCGUAAAGAGUGCGUAGGCGGUGUUCUAAGUCUGGUGUGAAAUCUCCCGGCUCAACUGGGAGGGUGCGCCGGAAACUAGGAUGCUAGAGGGUGGGAGAGGUAAGCGGAAUUCCUGGUGUAGCGGUGAAAUGCGUAGAUAUGAGGAGGAACACCUGUGGUGUAGACAGCUUACUGGACCACUUCCGACGCUGAGGCGCGACAGCUAGGGUAGCAAACGGG
Molecule: ribosomal RNA, 253 nt
Filed under: uncultured bacterium
Lineage: Bacteria
Description: partial 16S ribosomal RNA
Rfam family: Bacterial small subunit ribosomal RNA
Source: RNAcentral